Molecule: non-coding RNA, 419 nt
Filed under: Pan troglodytes (chimpanzee)
Lineage: Eukaryota; Metazoa; Chordata; Mammalia; Primates; Hominidae
Source: RNAcentral
CUAAGUGGAACUUCUUUUGAGGUUAAUGUUUAUAUACAAUUACUUUAACAUUGGAUUUGGGAAAUGGAACAACCUACUGCGGAUCUUUCUGCUACCGAUGAAAGAAGAAGGUUGAGUUUUACCUUCUAGAGCUUUACAGUGUAAACAAGCAGUAUUAGGUUUUGUUUUUACCUUCUCCCCUUUGGCCCCAUCACAGAAGCACUGGCCUUUGUCUUUACAGACACAACCCUAGGAAGAGGGAAAGAGAAAGGGUUUUGUUUAGAAACAGCUGAAUAAAUCCCAACCGGCAGGGUAAAAGCAAAUGCAUUUCUCUGUUCUUCGAGUAUUGGACACUAUCCGUUAGGAGCCAGGUGACCUUGUAGCAAUAUAUCAAUAGAAAUAUAUCAAUAUAUGAAUAGCAAUAAAGUAGAAAACUGAGA